GGAGGGGUGGCAGAGCGGUAAUGCAGCGGAUUGCUAAUCCGUCAUGGGGUAAUACUCAUGCCCGGGUUCGAUUCCCGGUCCCUCCGCCA
This 89-nucleotide transfer RNA is filed under the name Rhodospirillaceae bacterium. Its description in RNAcentral is "tRNA-Ser". It matches the Rfam family "tRNA". From Rfam's summary of the family: Transfer RNA (tRNA) molecules are approximately 80 nucleotides in length. Lineage: Bacteria; Pseudomonadati; Pseudomonadota; Alphaproteobacteria; Rhodospirillales; Rhodospirillaceae. The record is from RNAcentral. RNAcentral also lists the same sequence under 2 other names.